ACAGGGCCUCACUCUGUCACUCAGGCUGGAGUGAAGUGGUGCAAUCACAGUUCACUGAAACCUUGAACUCCUGGGUACAAGGAAUCCUCCUGUCUGGAACUACAGGAAGAAGAUGAUUUUUCACCUAGUGGAGUCAUUGAACAGUGGUCUUCAAAUUGGGAUUAUUUCCAAGAAUAGAUUAAAAUGCCAUGAAAAAGAAAAAAUUAUAGAAAAGCAAAAAGAGCUGAAUGCAGUGAAUGAACAUCUGUGAAUGAAGUUGAGAAGGUAUAUGUGGGGCAGACUAGAAUUGCAGUGCACAGAUACAAGAAUGUUGCCUGCUUUGGAGCCAAGACUGCCUUCCGGAUAAAGGGCCCACAGAGAGCUGAGAGCUGUGUAAUACCUCAAAGACUGAAGAAAAGAGUUAGACAGCCAUCUUUCCUUAGAGGAUUUUGCUGCAGACAGCUUGAACUACCAGAAGGUUAUAUACUGACCAUGGGUAGAGUAAGGAAGAAAUACAUCCUUCGGAAAGGACAAUGAAGAUCUUUACAGCAGGGAGGUGAGGACAAAGUGAUUCUCCCUUCUGGAGGAUGCAGCAAAGUGCUGCCUGCCAUCUUGGAAGCACAGAGUAGCCUUCACCACACUCUAAUCCCAUCAGAGCCUUGAUCUUGGACUUGCCAGCCUUCAGAACAGUCUUGCCUCAUCACUGCCAUGACAGGGGGGUCCAAUGUGAGGAUUCUGGUGUCUAUGCCAAGCAUCUCUUUUCCAACGUAGAUCUGAUUUCUUAACAUAGCCAACAGCAAGUCAACAUCAGCUUUGCAGAGAAAAGCAGGGAUGCGUGUGCACAAAGAAAAGGCCAUGUGAGGACAUAGCAAGAGGGAAGCUGUCCGCAAGCCAAGGAAAAAGGCCUCAGGAGAAACCAAAUCUGCCAAUACAUUGAUCUUGGACUUCCAGCAUUCAGAAAUGGAGACUUGUAUUUUCUGACAUUCAACUUAAUCGAAGAAUAAAGCUUUAACAGUGGCAUCAGUGACAUGAUGAAUGAUGCAUCAUUUUGAAGUAAUAAUGGUUUUCCCAGUGACUCAGAAAUAGCAGUAUGUUCAGAUUCAGUGUGCCUGUUCAUGAGAGCUCUGCAGAAAUUGCACAUCUGGCUCUUUGCCUGUGCACCUGAAGUUAUCUCAGGAGAAAUUAUACAAAUUAAAUACAGACACAGAGAAGGUCUUUUUUAAUUCAAAGGAAAAGAAUAUAUAUUCAAGAAAAGCAAAAAAGGUAAGAGAAAAGGUAAGGGACUGUAGUGAUAUUAAGCUAGGAAACUAACAAAAUGAUGACAAUAUAAAAUAAAUGAUGUGAAAAGAACAACAAAAACAAUAUAAAGUAGAAAUGAAAAUAUAUUGUGUUGGCUCAGGAAAAUAUUUAAAUUACUUUCUUUCUUCUAUUCCAUAGGUGGAAGUUGGGCCUUUGGUCAUUAAUUCUCUCUCUCUCUCUUGCUAAUUUUUGCAAAUAGGGAGAACUUGGAACAUCUGCCAAAAUUUUUAUUUUGUGCUUUAUUUUGGCUACCUGUUUAUUCCAUAGAACUAUGACUUGUCCUGGUGAUUCAGGCUUACUCCUUAAUUUCUGAACUGAUUGCCAGAGAGUCAGGGAUAUACACAUACAUUAUAUAUACACACACACACACACACACACACACACACACACACACACACAUAUAUAUAUACACACACAUACAUAUAUAUAUAUACACACACAUACAUAUACAUAUAUGGGAGAUUAUAUCUAUAUCUAUAUCUAUGUCUAUCCCUCCCAUGUUAUUUCCUGCUUUUCUACUACUUGUUCCACUUUCCCCAGGUCUUUUGAAACUAAAAAUAAAAUUAUCACCUCACUGUAAGUAUCAUGUCUUCUGCUUCAGGGGUUGCACACUGCUUCAAGGUAGUAAUUGUUAAUUAUUCAAGACUGACUUCUUGUAAAGUAAUCUUCUAGAAAGACAGCUGGACUUUUAAGACUUCAUGAACUCUAAAGAUAUGGCAGGCCAGGAUCCAAGGCCAAAGGUAUAAUACCUCCAAAAGCUACGGUUAUGAGUCUUGGAAGUCAGCCCUUGGUUGUAUCAGAGGAAAUACAGUUCUCUCUAACCAUGAAUGCUGAAGAGGAAGAAUCAAGCUGGAGGCUAGGAUUAUGCCAUAUCAUACUGCUUUUGGAUCUCAGCACACAGGAUGCCAGGGGAGGGUAAUGUUCUUACCAUGAAGCUUGUCAUCAGAGGUCCAAAAGAAGAGAGCCACAAAAUGUGUACUGUUCAAUGUUGUGUGCACAUCUAGCAUGAAACAUCUUUUGCAUCAGUGACCAAUCUGAGUACUUACAUCUUAACUCUAAGGCACACACUAAAAUACAUAAUGCCUGGUUGUUCCUAGAUACUUACUUGGUAUAAAAUUUAAUUUUUUCUAAAAAUGAUCUUAUAUGGUAGCUUUUUUUUUUGAGACGGAGUUUCGCUCUUGUUGCCCAGGCUGGAGGGCAAUGGCAUGACCUCAGCUCACUGCAACCUCCAUCUCCCGGGUUCAAGCAAUUCUCCUGCUUCAGCCUCCAGAGUAGCUGGGAUCACAGGCGCCCAUCACCAUGCCCAGCUAAUUUUUUGUAUUUUUAGUAGAGACAGGGUUUCCCCAUGUUGGCCAGGCUGGUCUUGAACUCCUGACCUCAGGUGAUCCACCUGCCUCUGCCUCCCAAAGUUCUGGGAUUACAGGCGUGAGCCACCACGCCCGGUCAUAUGUAGCUCUUUACUGUCUUUACAGCAUGAUAGCUGCUUAAUACAUAUUCAAUAUUCAUUGAAUUAUAACAUUCACUGAAUUGCAAUAUUUUUUCUCAUUGUUCACUCUGUUUUCCGAUUUUUCACAUACCCAUCCACAUCCCCAAUGCUCACAACUAGCCGCAACAUGAAUACUUUAAAUCAAUGAAGUCCCUGAAAUAAAAAAUUAUGAAUAAUCAUUAUUUUUGUCGUUUUUGUCAUUGUUUACAUCUAGUGAGACAGAAUUCUUUAUUACCAAAUUCUGUUCACGUUAUAGCCACUUCCUUCUCUGAAACUUCAUUAUCACCAUUAUAGCUUCUGGUAUGAUCAGCUAAUCUCACCAUUACAAAAGUCACUUACCUGAUCCUCCUGAAAAGUGUCUUGACCUAACCCUAAUACAAAGCAUUAAUUUUUUAAGUUUUCUUUUAUGGGAAAUUAUUUACAUUUAAUUAUAACACACAUAUAGUAAAAUGUACAUAUCAUCAAUACACACUUCCACGAAGUUUAACAAAAUGAAUUAAUACAUAUAACCACCAUAGAUCAAAUAAAAUAUUUAAACUUUCAGAUAGCCAUACUAAUGGCCUAAAUGCAAAUCUCUCUGCAUAGUAUUUCAAAAACUGUAGAGAUGAACCGCAAGAACAAAAUGAACACACAUUCUACAUCUUCA
This 3410-nucleotide long non-coding RNA is filed under the name Homo sapiens (human). Its description in RNAcentral is "HSALNT0114289". The record is from RNAcentral. Lineage: Eukaryota; Metazoa; Chordata; Mammalia; Primates; Hominidae.